GGCCUGUUAGCUCAGCUGAUUAGAGCGUGGUGCUAAUAACGCCAAGGUCGUGGGUUCGAUCCCCACAUGGGCCA
RNAcentral lists this transfer RNA (74 nucleotides) under Danionella translucida. It matches the Rfam family "tRNA". Rfam says of the family: Transfer RNA (tRNA) molecules are approximately 80 nucleotides in length. Their secondary structure includes four short double-helical elements and three loops (D, anti-codon, and T loops). Lineage: Eukaryota; Metazoa; Chordata; Actinopteri; Cypriniformes; Danionidae. The record is from Rfam by way of RNAcentral. RNAcentral also lists the same sequence under 1 other name.